AACCUAUACUAAAAGGUGAAUAUGAAGCGUUGUGAGACUAUCCACGUCAUCAAUUAAAAUCAGCCAAUAGGGUGUCUGAAAUUCGCCACAUCAGCAGCCCGCUAAUUUAUCUGGGCUUAAAGUUUAGCCGGCCCGGUUCUGAUUGGUUUCGUCGAGCCCGUUUAGCCCAAAUGCGGUAGAUACGGCUUCCAUGUUAUCCUCUCUUCCAGAACUCAACGUGGCCGUCUCGGCUUUUCAGAGUCUCAUCUCUUCGCCUCCCCUUUCGUUAUCUUUUCACCUUCCCUAUGGUUCAAUGUAUUUGUUUUAAUUCUACCCUAAUUGUUAAUCCCAUUGAAUCCAGAUUCCAUGUCGUCUUCUCCCUUUCAUUCAUCUCAAAUCUAUAAAUAUAAGCAGGUUGAGAGUAUGAUGGAUGCUCAGCACGAUUGUCAGUUUACCAUUUUAUUAAGCUGGAAAGAUUUUUAAAAAUGUCUUCCUCCGAUGCUGUUUUUUUGCACUCUGCGUUUGAGGCUCUCCGCCUCUGAAGAUCUGGCCAGUUCAUUGUUGCCAAAUUAAUCUGUUUUUGGGACUUGAAAAACAUCAAGAAACAUGGUUAAUUCAUGGAAAUCACUCUACUUCUCUUGAUGAUAAGAAUUUGGUGAUACAUGGAUUCAUCCUGCUGGUCGCGCCUCUUACUACCGUCCGUCUUUGCGAGGAGGUUCAGUCGUGAAGUUAAUUGGAGAGAGGAAGGAGCUGUCAUUCCAGUCAAAAAUCAGGGACACAUAUGUGGAAGUUGUUGGGCGCUCUCGGUGGUUGGAGCGGUGAACGGUAUAAACAAGAUCAAGACCGGAGAAUUGAUAUAUUUGUGGGAACAAGAGUUCAUAGACUACUACAGAGAGGACGGCAAUGGUGGAUGUGAUGGAGGGUUUAUGUACAGGUCCAUGUGAGGAUGGCUUUGGAAACCAUGAUGUGCUAGCCGUGUGGCAUGGAACAACAGACGGAGGUGAAGACUACUGGAUUAUUAUUUAUAACUCAUGGGGAUCAUAUUGGGGAGAAGGCGGAUACAUCAGGUCCUAACGUAACUAUCAUAAAUCAACCGGGUAAUGCGAAGUCGCAGCACGGUCUAUACCCAAUCAAGCCAAGCUCUCCAUUUGGUUUGGUGUCUACAGUUGGUUCUCCACGAGCAAGGAAUGAAGCUAAGUUGAGAUACAAAGAGAAGAAACUCAAGCACAUUACUGGGAAAAAGAUUCGAUAUGCAUUUCGCAGAGCGAGAGCUUACACGAGAAAAAUAGUGAGAGGAAGAUUUGUGAAAGCUGGUGACAAUUAUGACUAUGACCCAUCAUCACUAACCAUGAAAUCAAUGAGUUUUCUCUUCCCCUAAAACAAUUUUUAUUUUGAAUCGAGGAAAUCAACAUGUUGCGGCAUGGAAACGUUGGAGACCUGCACAAAGAAUGCUUAGAUGUAGUGAAAGUGACGAAUUGGGUGAAAAUAUAGCAAUUUUGCUUCUUUUUUCUAAAACAGAGCUCUUUCUUAUGUUAUUUACUUUUUUUUAAUAUUUCUAAUCAUUAUGUAAUAGGGAAAAUCCUAACUACUUUUAUUUGUAAACUUAGAAAAUAAUAACUCUAAAAUAAUUUAUGUUA
This is a long non-coding RNA of Brassica napus (rape), 1616 nucleotides long. RefSeq lists it as uncharacterized. The record is from RefSeq and is a predicted model, not a curated record. The transcript has 7 exons. Lineage: Eukaryota; Viridiplantae; Streptophyta; Magnoliopsida; Brassicales; Brassicaceae.